ACAGGUUAAUUAAAACAAAGCAUCGCGAAGGCCCAAGGUGGGUGUUGACGCGAUGUGAUUUCUGCCCAGUGCUCUGAAUGUCAAAGUGAAUAAAUUCAAUGAAGCGCGGGUAAACGGCGGGAGUACUAUGACUCUCUUAAGGAGGUGUGAACCCCGGACUCUAGGGGUCCCUACGUCUCUGUAUGAG
RNAcentral lists this non-coding RNA (187 nucleotides) under Salmo salar (Atlantic salmon). Its description in RNAcentral is "Eukaryotic large subunit ribosomal RNA". It matches the Rfam family "Eukaryotic large subunit ribosomal RNA", at positions 2137 to 2319 of the family's 3401-position model. Lineage: Eukaryota; Metazoa; Chordata; Actinopteri; Salmoniformes; Salmonidae. The record is from Rfam by way of RNAcentral.